Molecule: ribosomal RNA, 253 nt
Filed under: uncultured bacterium
Lineage: Bacteria
Description: partial 16S ribosomal RNA
Rfam family: Bacterial small subunit ribosomal RNA
Source: RNAcentral
UACGUAGGGUCCGAGCGUUGUCCGGAAUUACUGGGCGUAAAGGGCGCGUAGGCGGACAGUUAAGUCGGGGGUGAAAGCCCGGGGCUCAACCCCGGAAUUGCCUUCGAUACUGGCUGUCUUGAGUUCGGGAGAGGUGUGUGGAAUGCCGAGUGUAGAGGUGAAAUUCGUAGAUAUUCGGCGGAACACCAGUGGCGAAGGCGACACACUGGCCCGAUACUGACGCUGAGGCGCGAAAGCGUGGGGAGCAAACAGG